GUGUCAGCAGCCGCGGUAAUACGUAGGCAGCGAGCGUUGUUCGGAAUUACUGGGCGUAAAGAGUGCGUAGGCGGUGCUCUAAGUUUGGUGUGAAAUCUCCCGGCUUAACCGGGAGGGUGCGCCGAAGACUGGAGUGCUUGAGUGUGGGAGAGGAAAGCGGAAUUCCUGGUGUAGCGGUGAAAUGCGUAGAUAUCAGGAGGAACACCUGCGGUGUAGACGGCUUUCUGGACCACGACUGACGCUGAGGCACGAAAGCGUGGGUAGCAAACAGGAUUAGAUACCCGCGUAGUCC
Molecule: ribosomal RNA, 292 nt
Filed under: uncultured bacterium
Lineage: Bacteria
Description: partial 16S ribosomal RNA
Rfam family: Bacterial small subunit ribosomal RNA
Source: RNAcentral